Non-coding RNA from Benincasa hispida (wax gourd), 2557 nucleotides. NCBI's taxonomy places the organism in Eukaryota, Viridiplantae, Streptophyta, Magnoliopsida, Cucurbitales, Cucurbitaceae. The record is from RefSeq and is a predicted model, not a curated record.
AAAGAAAGGAAAAAAAAGAAAGAAAUUCAAAGCUCUCUCUUCUUCUCUCCGUGUACGCAAAGCCGCAGCCCCCCUAUGUUUUCAAGCGCUUCGCGUCAAGCCCUACCUGCCGUCGACUGCUUCAGCAACCAGCGUCGUCGCUUCAUCACCCGCCGACGUCGCAUCUUUGACCACUCCAGUCCACCGUCGACUGUCCGCCGCUCGUCACCAGUAAGGUACUCCGUCGUCACUAAUAGCACUAGUUCGAUGUUGUCGUCCGUCGUUUGCCAUCGCUCAGCCUCUGUUGUCGGCGAAAGCCACUGCCAUCACUUGUCGUUACCAAAAGUUUGGAAUUUUAGUUUGAAUUACUUUACAUUGAAGGAUUGGAAGUGAUUUUGGGCCAAGCCACCGUUGCAGUCUUGAAUUAAGAUUGUGUUUGGCAAAGAGAAGAUAAGUGUACUUGAGUAUAUUUUGGGCCUAAAUUUCGAGGUAAGUAAUCUUGCUACUAGAAUCGUCUUCGUAUCAGACGAUACAAUUUUAUGUUUGAAAUAUGUUAAGUGUAAGAGCUUGAUCUUGAUUUUUAUAAGAUGUUUUAUGACGAUGAACGAGCCUGAUCUAAAUUUUAUAUGAUAUGUUAUGAGGAUGUAUGUGCAUGAUGUAUUAUUUCCAUGUUGUGGGACUCUGAUUUAUACUACAUGAUAAGUUAAUUAGUGAUGAUUACCUCCUACCUAUAGUCAUAUACCUACUAGGGGUUUGAGUUUUCUUCGGGAUUUACAAGAGGUUUGUGUCUUCCUCGAGAUUUAUCAAAGGUUUGUGUCUCUUAAAGGAUUCACCAGAGGUUUGUGAUUUCCUUCGGAUUUUCACUAAAGGUCAGUGAUCUCCUUUGAGAUUUCACCAAAGGUUUGUGAGUACCUCUCAUCUACGGUAGGAGGGGUUCAAUUAUUCACUAAAUGGUCAUCCAUGGUCAGUUGAGGUUUUUUGCACGUCCCACAAGAAUGUUGCAUUUAUUAAACAUAAAUGCAUAAUCUAGCCCCAAUAGUAGAGUUACUUACUAAGUAUUUUAUACUCUUCUCUAUUAUGUUUUUUUAGGAAAGGGUAAGGAUACAUUGGCGAAUGACAGGUGGAAUCCGUAAACUUUUCCUAUGAUUUCACAGUUUGUCAUUGAAUUUAGUGAACUUUUAGUUUUUGCACUGUUGGUUGUUUUAGAUAAAAUUUUUUAGUGAUGUCUUUAUUUAUUUAUUUUUAAUUAAGGGUAUCAUGUUUAAUGAUUUUCAAUUAUUUACUUUUAAUAAAAGUUAUUUAUUCUAUAACAUUUAUUUGGUUUUUGCCCAUUCAUGAAAAAUGUCGUUUUGAGGUGAAUGCAUGUAUAUAGUAAUGGCCUAUUACAAGUCCUAGGGAGUCGAGUCGUUACAACUAUGGAUACAACCUACUUUGCAAUAGUUACAAAUUGUUUGAUCCAAACUGUUCAUGUGGAGACAUGUGAGUGAAGUUAUCUUAUACAAAGAGUUUAUAUAAGAUUGAACCAUGAAAUAUUUAAUCUUUUAUAGUAAAUUCAUUAAUUGAUGAGAUUAAUAUAUCAUAGGAUGAUCAUGUGCAACUUGAUCUUAAUCUUAAGUGAUUUAUGAACUCCUAUCUGUGAGGUCAACCCUUUGAUUUGCGCAGGUGAAAAUGACCCAAGUUGUUGACUCAAUAAGCCUACCAUUUUUGGGACUUAACUAAAUGAGGAGCUCAAAACAUAACUUCACACGAUGGAAUUCACUCUUUCCUGCAUAGGUAAGUAAGUAGAUGAGUAGUUCUCUUAAGCAUUGAUUUCGAGUCUUGAACAAGGGAUCCCACCCUCUCACUGGCCCAAUAGGAACUUAGUUCAUAGUUGGAUCAUUAACAAAUUGUUCAUUAGAGAAAAGCAGUGUUACUUAAGGAAAAUAGGUAAUUGUAAGAGUACAACGAAUAUUUGACCAAACUGUAACUAUGAAUAACUCGUGAAGGAUCGACUUGCUUAUAUUAAUUAUAUCUAUGUGAAGGAACUCUAAAUCGAGAUCCAGUGAACGAAAGCGGAUUGUUCCAAAUCCUAUUGAGAAAGAACAUAAACAAUUAUAGUCCACACAGAAACGAUUAUGCAUAAUCAGAAAUUACAGCAUGCUACUUAAUAAAGGAACAAACAGGGAUAGAGUGUGCAAACCUUUGAAGAACCUUCAAAUAUCCCUCGAUCGUUUAGCAAAUCGUUCAAUCAGCACGAACUUCGAACGCAACGAUCAGAACUCGAUCUCAACGAACGUCUGAAUGAACGUCGAUCCUAAUCGAAUCCAACUCGAUCCUCGAACUGAAUAGGAAUACCAACACAAGUGUUAUCUUGGUAUUCUCGAUGUGAGAAUCUAGGAGUUGUAGGCUUUGUAUGAUUUUGGAUUGAGGAAAGCAGGAGGUAGACGAUCGAGUAAGUGGGAGAUGUAUGUUGUCUAUCAUAUAGACGAAAUACUCAAUCGUUUAGAAAGAUGAAGCCUAUCGUAUAGACUUUGCUACUCAAUCGUAUAGCAACAAGUAAACGAGUAAUUAUCAUAUAGUAAACUCGUAACUCGAUCGU